UUGAUUCUUUUCAUAUUAUUUUCAGUCACUUCAGUUAUUGGAUUUCAAAGCACCAAUAUAUAAUCACCAUUAAUUAACUUUUUAAAAUGUUUGUAGUAGGAACGUAAACAAACACACGUAAAACACAAGACAUUUCUUGUUUUAUAUAUAACAUUUUGAAAACACACAAAAGAACGAUUGUGAAGAAAGCCACGAACUGAUCAGUAGAUGUAGCCAGCUACAAGAGCAAUGGUGGCUGCGGCCAAGCCGGUCAACAUAUCGAAGACAGCAAUGGUACCAGCGUUUGGGGAUUUAGUUGGUGCAUGGUCCUCAUGACCUUCAUGAUCGUCGUGACUCUCGUGUCCCUGAGCCGAGACCAUAGCAAUCAUCAACGCCAACACUAGAGAAGCUACACUGAUUUGAACAAAGAUCUUCUUCAUCAUUUUUUGGUUUGACUUCUUUUUCAAAAACGCAGCGCUUCGAUUUAGUUCGAUGAAUGUAAGAGAAGAUUAGGAUGUG
This 498-nucleotide long non-coding RNA is filed under the name Capsella rubella. RNAcentral's name for it is "long non-coding RNA (CRUB_LNC002493)". The record is from RNAcentral. Lineage: Eukaryota; Viridiplantae; Streptophyta; Magnoliopsida; Brassicales; Brassicaceae.